GACGAACGCUGGCGGCGUGCUUAACACAUGCAAGUCGAACGGAAAGGCCCUGCUUUUGUGGGGUGCUCGAGUGGCGAACGGGUGAGUAACACGUGAGUAACCUGCCCUUGACUUUGGGAUAACUUCAGGAAACUGGGGCUAAUACCGGAUAGGAGCUCCUGCUGCAUGGUGGGGGUUGGAAAGUUUCGGCGGUUGGGGAUGGACUCGCGGCUUAUCAGCUUGUUGGUGGGGUAGUGGCUUACCAAGGCUUUGACGGGUAGCCGGCCUGAGAGGGUGGCCGGCCACAUUGGGACUGAGAUACGGCCCAGACUCCUACGGGAGGCAGCAGUGGGGAAUAUUGCACAAUGGGCGGAAGCCUGAUGCAGCAACGCCGCGUGCGGGAUGACGGCCUUCGGGUUGUAAACCGCUUUCGCCUGUGACGAAGCGUGAGUGACGGUAAUGUGUAAAGAAGCACCGGCUAACUACGUG
Molecule: ribosomal RNA, 468 nt
Filed under: uncultured bacterium
Lineage: Bacteria
Description: partial 16S ribosomal RNA
Rfam family: Bacterial small subunit ribosomal RNA
Source: RNAcentral